This 494-nucleotide ribosomal RNA is filed under the name uncultured bacterium. Its description in RNAcentral is "bacterial SSU rRNA". It matches the Rfam family "Bacterial small subunit ribosomal RNA", at positions 29 to 511 of the family's 1533-position model. The record is from RNAcentral.
AUUGAACGCUGGCGGCAUGCCUAACACAUGCAAGUCGAACGGCAGCACGGCAGUAGCAAUACUGUGGGUGGCGAGUGGCGGACGGGUGAGGAAUACGUCGGAAUCUGCCCAAUCGUGGGGGAUAACUAACCGAAAGGUUAGCUAAUACCGCAUACGACCGAGAGGUGAAAGCGGGGGACCGCAAGGCCUCGCGCGAUUGGAUGAGCCGACGUCGGAUUAGCUUGUUGGUGGGGUAAAGGCCUACCAAGGCCACGAUCGGUAGCUGGUCUGAGAGGAUGAUCAGCCACACUGGGACUGAGACACGGCCCAGACUCCUACGGGAGGCAGCAGUGGGGAAUAUUGGACAAUGGGCGCAAGCCUGAUCCAGCAAUGCCGCGUGUGUGAAGAAGGCCUGCGGGUUGUAAAGCACUUUAAGCGGGGAGGAAGGCCUGAUGGUUAAUACCCAUUGGGAUUGACGUUACCCGCAGAAUAAGCACCGGCAAACUUCGUGCCAG